This 539-nucleotide ribosomal RNA is filed under the name uncultured fungus. RNAcentral's name for it is "eukaryotic LSU rRNA". The stretch from base 135 to 282 matches the Rfam family "5.8S ribosomal RNA". Lineage: Eukaryota; Fungi. The record is from RNAcentral.
UCCGUAGGUGAACCUGCGGAAGGAUCAUUGCUAAGUGAGUAUGGUUUAUGAGGUUUGGUUGUUAUGACCGAAUACUUGUACACUUUACAUUUACGCGUUUUUUGUAUGACAGAUUAAUCCAGAGAAACAUCGACAACUUUUAACAAUGGAUCUCUUGGCUCUUGCAACGAUGAAGAACGCAGUCAAGUGCGAAAUUAAAUGCGAUUUGCAUGAAUCUGUGAGUCAUCAUGUCUUUGAACGCAACUUGCGCCAAGUAAAACUGGCAUGUCCAUCUGAGCGCCGUCCAAACCUUUGAGAUUGAGACUUUGGUCUUGGUCCCAUGCAUUGCUGGGCGUGAAGCCUGGUUAAAAAAGGAUAUUCUGUUCAUAGGAAUGUGUUAGAGGCACUUUUGAGAUGCGAGUCUCUUUAUCGUCCUUCUCAUUCCCAGAACAAUGGGUGUGGUGUGCAUGUGUAUGGUGAUAACAUCAAAAUACAUUAAACGCACAAAACCCCCUAAUAAUCUGGCCUGCAGAUUGGGCAGGAUUACCCGCUGAACUUAA